Molecule: ribosomal RNA, 404 nt
Filed under: Verrucomicrobiota bacterium
Lineage: Bacteria; Pseudomonadati; Verrucomicrobiota
Description: Verrucomicrobia bacterium partial 16S ribosomal RNA
Rfam family: Bacterial small subunit ribosomal RNA
Source: RNAcentral
UGGGGAAUAUUGCACAAUGGGGGAAACCCUGAUGCAGCGACGCCGCGUGAGCGAUGAAGGCUUUCGAGUCGUAAAGCUCUGUCCUAUGGGAAGAUAAUGACGGUAUCAUAGAAGAAAGCCCCGGCUAAUUACGUGCCAGCAGCCGCGGUAAUACGUAAGGGGCGAGCGUUGUCCGGAAUUAUUGGGCGUAAAGAGUGCGUAGGCGGCAAAUUAAGUCAGAUGUGAAAACUAAGGGCUCAACCCAUAGAUUGCAUCUGAAACUGAUAUGCUUGAGUCAAGGAGAGGAAAGUGGAAUUCCUAGUGUAGCGGUGGAAUGCGUAGAUAUUAGGAGGAAUACAGGUGGCGAAGGCGACUUUCUGGACUUGAACUGACGCUGAGGCACGAAAGCGUGGGGAGCAAACAGG